This is a long non-coding RNA of Hemicordylus capensis (graceful crag lizard), 2548 nucleotides long. RefSeq lists it as uncharacterized. The record is from RefSeq and is a predicted model, not a curated record. Lineage: Eukaryota; Metazoa; Chordata; Lepidosauria; Squamata; Cordylidae. The transcript has 3 exons.
UGUACCUUAGAACUUUCUAGGACCAUGUAUUUCAUAACAGUGCCCUAAAAUAGUGUUUUUCAGCCCACCCGCCCCCAAAUACACAGAGCGGUUUAUUUUUUAAAAAAUUGAAUUUAUAUACUGCCCAAUAUCAAAAUCUCUAGGCGGUGCACAGAAUUAAAACAUAAUAUAAAAUGUAAAAGGUUUAAAAUUCAAAAAAGAGAGAUAAAAAUGAUAAUAAAAACACAUUAAAAUUUUAAAAAGAUCUGUACCAGUUGAAGGUCCGGGGAAAAUAGGUACGUCUUCAGGGUCCUCCUAAAAACAAACAGCAAAGGAGAUGCUCUUAUUUCAUCAGGAAACAAGGAAAGGUGUGAGAAGAUAAUUUACAAUGGAAAAGGUGUGAGAAGAUAGUUCUCUGUCCCAAUGGAGCUCACCGUCUAAAAGGAAGCCCUAGGUAGACACCAGCAACAGCUACUGAGAGAGAGACUAUGAGUGGUGAGCCAGUCUUGUGGUAGCGAGCACGAAUGAUCCCCUUUGCUAAGCAGGGUUUUCCUUGGUUUUCCUUUGGAUGAACAACUACCUGUGAGCACUGUCUGCUGUAAGAUAUUUUCCUUAGCAAAUGGGGCUGUAGCUGGAUGCCACAUGGGAACCCCCCACAUUCAAGCUGUAUAAAGGCCCCAAAAUUCAGGCCUGAGUCACAGUGUGUGAAGGGCCAGUGAAACUGCCAAAAGCCCAAUAGUACGCCCCUUGUGCAGCUUAGCUUCCUCCAUGCUGGGGUUUUGGCCUCUGUUGUGAGGUAAACCCAUGUAUCUGAUGAAUGAUUGGGCAGCAUCCUCGGGAAAUACCUUUGUGUAUCCAUUUAUGAGGUAAAGUCUUAUGAAGUUUCACCAAUCUAACUCAUGUGGAAACACCUCCGUGAACCCAUUUAUGAAGUAAACCACUAGGAAGUGUGAGCGGCCUAAUGAAGAAAUACCUUUGUGUAUCCAUUUAUGAGCCAGCGAGAAUUUCAGGAGGCAAGGUCAAUGCUUAUUGGAAAAGGAGCAAGACAAGGGCGGGUAAUUUUCGGGGGCCAUGCCCGUCCUUCCCUCGGCAGCUCCGUGGAUCUCUUCACACACGGAUGCCACCUUGCACACACCACAGGAGAGGCGCUGUGAGGCACCAGAUGGAAAGCGACAUGGCAGGAUCCAGAGGCGUAUUUGAACGACCCCAGUGUCAAGGAGCCGCCCGGUCGAGCCAAGCCUCUAUGAAAUCACCCUCCAAGCGGGGUUGAUAUUUCCAGGGAAUCCAAGCAAUGCUUGGCAACUUUCCAUCUUGAAGCCGUGACAUUUCGUCCUGUACUUUGAGAUGUGUUUAAAUGAGUACGCCGUGCAAAGGCCCCGAGGGAUCUUGGGAGUCGCAGGAGAAUUUGGUCACGGGCAGUCGCAACCUUUCCUUUACCAUUGCUGCUUAAAUACAGAGCAAACAAGCUGGAAUUAUAAAGUCACGUCAAAGCAAGGUUUCAAAAUAAAAUGUACUAUAUACCUAGGGCUUCCCCGAGGGACCUUUCUCAUGGUUGCAUGUUUUGUUAACGAAAAGGAGGGGAAAGCUUUUUCUGCUGCUAUGAAAUAUUUCUCUUCUCCCCAGCACCUUCUCAAUGGAUGGCUAUUAUUUUAUGGAUGUAUAUUACAUUGUUUUAUAACCCACCUUUCCUCUCCAAACCAAGAGGAGGAAGCUGAUCUUGCAGUAGUGAGCAUGAAUUGUCUACUUGGCUAAGCAGGGUUCACUCUGGUUUGCAUAUGGAUGGUGACUACAUGUGAAUGCUGGAAGAUAUUCCCUGUACGGGAUAGGGCUGUAGCAUCAGUGGUGGAGCAUCUGCUUUGCAUAUGGAAGGUCCAAGUUUCACUCCCUGGCAGCAUCUCCAGGUAGGGCUGGGGAAGACCUCUGUCUGAAACCUUGGAGAAGAUGCUGCCAGUCAGGGAAGACAAUACUAAGCUAGACAGACAAACAUCUGACUCUGCAUAAGGCAGCUUCCUAUGGAAGGGUUUCUCAGCCAGCAGCAAACAGGUGAUGGGCUCUAGACAGAAGUGUCUUCCCUUUCCAGACACAAUGCUAAUUGUAUGAAGGGUCGAACUCUGAAGCCACAGGAUUACCCACGAAAUAUUUGGCCUGAGGUGCUCUCGUCGAGCGGGAGGUUUGUUAUGGGCCAUUGACUUCCUGUCAAAAUAGAUCCCACACCCAUUAAUUGUCAUAUGACAUAUGGGGAGAAAACACCAAGCCAAAACAAAACAAGAGAUGCUAACAGGCUUGGGAGAGACGUAUUCCUGGACUGUCCCCCAGGAAUCUGUGGGAAUGAUGGAGCUCUGUGAAUCCUACACUUCUCUCUUUGAGAGGGACACCUUGAGGUGCUCUGGUGGGUGGGGGGCUACAUAUGAAAGCUGUGAGAUGGGGCCGCAGGUCAGUUGGAAGAUCGUCGGUGUGCUUGGCACACAGAAGGUCCCAGGUUCAAUCUCUGGCAGUAUCUCCAGGUAGGGUUGGGAGAGACUCCUGCCUGAAAGCGUGGAGAAGCCAUUGGCAGUCCGUGUAGACAAUA